Molecule: ribosomal RNA, 512 nt
Filed under: uncultured bacterium
Lineage: Bacteria
Description: bacterial SSU rRNA
Rfam family: Bacterial small subunit ribosomal RNA
Source: RNAcentral
AACGAACGCUGGCGGCGUGCUUAACACAUGCAAGUCGAACGCGAAAGGGACUUCGGUCCUGAGUAAAGUGGCGCACGGGUGAGUAACGCGUAGAUAACCUGUCUUCAUGUCUGGAAUAAUACGCCGAAAGGGGUACUAAUACCGGAUAUUCUUGCUUUUCAUAAGUUAUGCAAGCAAAGGUGGCCUCUGCAUAUGCUACUGCAUGAAGAGGGGUCUGCGUACCAUUAGCUAGUAGGUGGGGUAAUGGCCUACCUAGGCGACGAUGGUUAGCGGGUCUGAGAGGAUGAUCCGCCACACUGGCACUGGAACACGGGCCAGACUCCUACGGGAGGCAGCAGUGAGGAAUAUUGCGCAAUGGGGGAAACCCUGACGCAGCGACGCCGCGUGAGUGAGGAAAAGGCCUUCGGGUCGUAAAGCUCUGUCAAGAGGAAAGAAGUGUACAAUGGCUAAUACCUGUUGUAUUUGACGGUACCUCUAAAGGAAGCACCGGCUAACUCCGUGCCAGCAGCAGC